Molecule: transfer-messenger RNA, 375 nt
Filed under: Saprospiraceae
Lineage: Bacteria; Pseudomonadati; Bacteroidota; Saprospiria; Saprospirales
Also listed under: 1 other name
Description: g M3007 X1 Standard tmRNA
Rfam family: transfer-messenger RNA
About the family: Bacterial tmRNA, also known as 10Sa RNA or SsrA, is named for its dual tRNA and mRNA-like properties. Its role is to liberate the mRNA from a stalled ribosome.
Source: RNAcentral
GGGCCUGUACCUGGUAUUGACGGGAAAGGAAAGUUGCACCGUAAGCAUGCCGGAGCAUGAGCGUUUGCCUCCGUAUAAAACAGCGCUCGAACCAUAAGUGGCAACUACAGCUACGCAAUGGCUGCCUAAUCCCAAGGAUUAGAAAGCCUUUAUGCCGCACGGUUGAGGUCCCAUACACAUCGUGCCGCGUAUCACACUCCCUGGGACUAUCCGGCGGAACGCCGUUACCACUCGGAGACACUUCAACGGCUAAGGCGCGGACUGGUCGGCCCCUGAACCUACCCCGCGCUCGAAAAAACUAAUCGGGAGCUAAGCAUGUAGAAAGCGAUGUGACACUUUGUCCGGACGCGGGUUCGACCCCCGCCAGGUCCACUA